CUCUCUCUCUCUCUCUCUCUCUCUCUCUCUCUCUCUCUCUCUCGCCCUGCAUAUCGAAGGAGCUCAAUCCAAUGUCGGAGCAAAGCAAAAUUCGCUCAGCACGGAUGGAUCUGAGAAUGAACAUAAAGUAGGUCGGAAUUCAGCCGCAGAAAUUGCUGUCUAAUCCUGAAAGAAUCGGACAUGGACCAAGCCACUGAGUCGAAGAUUCGGAAUCAGCAGACGACGAGGAGUCCAAAGUAGCAGAGGAGAGCAACUAGGAGCGUGGGUUCGAUGAAAUGGCGAUCUCGUGAUUUGUAGGCUUUCGCAUAAGAGGAAGGUGACAGUUAAGGAGUUCAAGGGGAAACCAUUGGUGUCGUUGAGGGAGUUUUUUACUAAAGAAGGCAAGGAGCUCCCUACUUCUAAAGUGCCAAUAUCUGUUGUUGCAUCUUUCAAGAAGAUUAAGGCCCUCAUAAGUAGUCAUUCCCAGCUUGCAACUGUAUUGCGGAACUCCUCAAAGCUUUACAUGAAGAUGGGAAGAAGGUCAGACGCCAGCAUCCCCUGACUCAAUCAGAUAUGGAAGAGUUGCAAAUUGCCCACCUCAAAUUUAUAUUCCAGUUUUCCGCACCAUAGAGUUAAAGACCACGAGUUUUACUGAGAGG
Molecule: long non-coding RNA, 638 nt
Organism: Rosa chinensis
Lineage: Eukaryota; Viridiplantae; Streptophyta; Magnoliopsida; Rosales; Rosaceae
Exons: 6
Source: RefSeq, a predicted model, not a curated record